AUAUUGAUUGAUAUAUGAU
RNAcentral lists this microRNA (19 nucleotides) under Corchorus olitorius. RNAcentral's name for it is "rgl-miR51". The record is from RNAcentral. Lineage: Eukaryota; Viridiplantae; Streptophyta; Magnoliopsida; Malvales; Malvaceae.